Molecule: small nuclear RNA, 106 nt
Organism: Hyalella azteca
Lineage: Eukaryota; Metazoa; Arthropoda; Malacostraca; Amphipoda; Hyalellidae
Source: RefSeq, a predicted model, not a curated record
GUACCUGCUUCGGCAGUACAGAUACUAAAAUUGGACCGAUACAGAGAAGACUAUCAUGGCUCCUGCGCAACGAUGACACGCAUAUAUUGACAUAAACAUAAUGUGA